Molecule: ribosomal RNA, 241 nt
Filed under: Listeria monocytogenes
Lineage: Bacteria; Bacillati; Bacillota; Bacilli; Caryophanales; Listeriaceae
Description: partial 23S ribosomal RNA
Rfam family: Bacterial large subunit ribosomal RNA
Source: RNAcentral
CCCCGUGGAGCUCGACUGCAACCUGUUAUGUAAGGUUUGUACCGCUUGUACAGGAUAGGUAGGAGCCGAAGAGCCGUGUGCGCUAGCAUACGAGGAGGCAAUGGUGGGAUACUCCCCUGGCUGUAUGACCAUUCUAACCCGCCACGCUUAGCGCGUGGGGAGACAGUGUCAGGUGGGCAGUUUGACUGGGGCGGUCGCCUCCUAAAGAGUAACGGAGGCGCCCAAAGGUUCCCUCAGAAUG